RNAcentral lists this small nuclear RNA (103 nucleotides) under Dasypus novemcinctus (nine-banded armadillo). Lineage: Eukaryota; Metazoa; Chordata; Mammalia; Cingulata; Dasypodidae. The record is from RNAcentral.
AUGCUCACUUUGGCAGCACAUAAACUAAAAUUGGAAGACAGAGAAAUUAGCAUGGCCCCUGUGCAAGGAUGACAUGCAAAUCUGUGAAGCAUUCCAUAUUUUU